GGGGCCCGCACAAGCGGUGGAGCAUGUGGUUUAAUUCGAUGCAACGCGAAGAACCUUACCUGGACUUGACAUCCCAGGAAUUCCCUGGAAACAGGGAAGUGCCCUUCGGGGAGCCUGGUGACAGGUGCUGCACGGCUGUCGUCAGCUCGUGUCGUGAGAUGUUGGGUUAAGUCCCGCAACGAGCGCAACCCUUGUCUUUAGUUGCCAUCAUUAAGUUGGGCACUCUAAAGAGACUGCCGGUGUCAAACCGGAGGAAGUGGGGAUGACGUCAAGUCCUCAUGGCCUUUAUGACCAGGGCUACACACGUACUACAAUGGCAGGUACAAAGGGCAGCCACUUAGCGAUAAGGCGCGAAUCCCGUAAAACCUGUCUCAGUCCGGAUUGGAGUCUGCAACUCGACUCCAUGAAGUUGGAAUCGCUAGUAAUCGCAGAUCAGCACGCUGCGGUCGAAUACGUUCCCGGGCCUU
Molecule: ribosomal RNA, 467 nt
Filed under: uncultured Desulfocapsa sp.
Lineage: Bacteria; Pseudomonadati; Thermodesulfobacteriota; Desulfobulbia; Desulfobulbales; Desulfocapsaceae
Description: bacterial SSU rRNA
Rfam family: Bacterial small subunit ribosomal RNA
Source: RNAcentral